GGGGAAUUUUGGACAAUGGGGGCAACCCUGAUCCAGCAAUGCCGCGUGAGUGAAGAAGGCCUUCGGGUUGUAAAGCUCUUUUGUCAGGGAAGAAACACCGGCUCUAACACAGUCCGGGAAUGACGGUACCUGAAGAAUAAGCACCGGCUAACUACGUGCCAGCAGCCGCGGUAAUACGUAGGGUGCGAGCGUUAAUCGGAAUUACUGGGCGUAAAGCGUGCGCAGGCGGUUAUACAAGACAGGCGUGAAAUCCCCGGGCUUAACCUGGGAAUGGCGCCUGUGACUGUAUAGCUAGAGUGUGUCAGAGGGGGGUAGAAUUCCACGUGUAGCAGUGAAAUGCGUAGAUAUGUGGAGGAAUACCAAUGGCGAAGGCAGCCCCCUGGGAUAACACUGACGCUCAUGCACGAAAGCGUGGGGAGCAAACAGGA
RNAcentral lists this ribosomal RNA (428 nucleotides) under uncultured Polynucleobacter sp. RNAcentral describes it as "bacterial SSU rRNA". It matches the Rfam family "Bacterial small subunit ribosomal RNA", at positions 356 to 777 of the family's 1533-position model. Lineage: Bacteria; Pseudomonadati; Pseudomonadota; Betaproteobacteria; Burkholderiales; Burkholderiaceae. The record is from RNAcentral.